CCGGUUGCUGCUGUUGCUGGGCGAACAUCCUGGAGAGGGAGAGGGGGGGUGGACUUCGCUUGCCUCGCCGAAGGCGGCAAGUCCACCUCUCGCUCCACAGAGGGCCACCGCCGCCGCCGCGUAAAGCUGCCGGGGAAGAUUAUGGAAAUCUUCCAACCUCCUUGAAAGGUAUGCCUUGAGGCUGCCCUUGGAUGGUGUUUGAAUAAAUGAGAAAAUACUCCUACCUUUUAAGCCUGGCUACCACAUGGAAUGGACUUGAAAUGAAGGGAACAUCCUCCUCUGGACAAAGCUGAAAAGAAAUUUGUUACCAGGGAAUGGUUAUGCCAUACUUAGGAACAAUGAGGAUUGGGCCUUGGAGGAAAAAAAAAUAGCCCCUUUGCUAUAUUGUGAAAUUUCUUCAACUAUAUCACUUUAGAAAGUUCUGGGGAAACAGCAUAGUGAAAACUGGGAAAUUUAGUUGGUGUUGUUUGUGAAAUACUUUAAGCCCCUUCUUCAGCUAGUAUCCAUAAUUUGGAUGUUGUUUCUCUUAGCUUUUCUCCCUUAUCCUUUAUGUUUCUUUUUAUUUAUUUAUUUAUUUUCUGCAGGUCUUUAAUUUUUGAUAUUAUUUCCCUGUGGCAGGAUAGUUUUUAACUCUUUUAUUGAUUUUAAUUGCCUGUUAAAAGAAAAGGGUUAUUGCAAUUUAUUGGAGGAAAUAUAACAUUAACUUUCUUACUGUUGUUUUAUUGUCUUUGCCUUCUUUGUUCUUCAUUUUCUUCUGUUUUUUUCUCCCUGUUUUUACUGUUAUCCAGCUGCCCUAUGUAUCCAAGAAGCAGCUUAACAGAUAUCACGUACAAUACGCUUGGCAACUGUCAGGGUCAAGCUUUUCCCAGUUCCUAAAAAUGUCUUGUUCUGCCAAGUGGAGGAUGUAAAUCCUGAUAAUAUUAGCUUCUUGGCGCCUUUUUUGGCACCCAAAUCAGGCUUCGGUAAAUGAGGUCAAAGCAUUGUAUUGUGAACGGCAAAGGGUUAGAAUAUAAAGUAUGGAUGAAGAAUCGUGCUUAGUUUAGUUCACUUUCCCACAUCUUAUAUGCAGGGAAAAUAUAUGCUAAAUAAUUAUUAAGCCCUUCCAUAAACAUUCAGUAUUCACACAGUUGUAAAUCAAUCAAGAGCUAAAUAUUCCUGACAAAUACAGAAUAAAAGUGUAAGAGAACAGUGGAAUAAAUAAAAAACAAUAUCCUCUCCCUGUGUAACUAUAGUAGUGUUAGUUUUAAAAUAUAUUAUUUCAAACAUAUGGAAAACUUUCUGUUGUAUUGACUCUGGAAGAGCAAUUUGAGGGCCCAUGAAGAUUUUUCAGCUAAAAUACCAGAAAGUUCAUUGUGUUGCGUGCUUAAAAAUGUCUUUGAGGGUGUCUCUAUAUUUUGCUAUUCAAUUGUAUGUUCAAUGUUUAUUCCAACAAAAUCUAUACAAUUCAUAAAUAAGAAAUAAUCACUUUUGAUGGUAUUGCUAUUUUGGGAUUGACAUUCUGAACCCAUAUCCCAAUAAUUCUGCUCAAUUGUUCAGCACGUGUACCCUAAAUUUACUUAGCCAUCUAACUUAGAUAUUUCACAGUGGCAGAAAAAUGUACUUAGUCCGCUGACAGUUUUAUGAUGAGUAAUUUCCCCUUCUCCCUUUGAAAGGAGAAAUAAUCAAAAGAAUACCAUUCACUUACUGAACUAUACAAGUUUCUACAGAGGUAUUGUGGGCAUGUUAUUCUGCAGCAAAAAAGUCUUAAAAGACUCGCAUUUAUUAUCAUGGAAGCUUUUGUGAAUCAUAGGCUACUUCAUUAAAUGGAUGUAAUGACGAUGUUAACACAGUAAUUUGAAAGCUGUGACACUCAUAAAAUUCUAGUCUCUCAUAA
Molecule: long non-coding RNA, 1873 nt
Organism: Crotalus tigris (Tiger rattlesnake)
Lineage: Eukaryota; Metazoa; Chordata; Lepidosauria; Squamata; Viperidae
Exons: 2
Source: RefSeq, a predicted model, not a curated record